AUCAAAUCAUUAUUUCUGUCAUAACUGACAUUUGCAUAGCUGUCAUUUUUUUGAGUGUUUUUUUUUAACUUUUUUUUAUAGAGCUAUACUUUUUUGAUUGUUUAAUGUAAAAAAAUAACUCUGAAGGCAUGGUUUAUAGAGAAUGUCAUAGAUACAAACAAACAAAAAUUAAAAGAAUUUAUUUAAUAUUUCUCUAGCAUAAACUUAAAUCUGGUAAGCCUGUUAAAAUACGGUAGAUAUGUGAGGACUUUUUGGUGGGAACGCGAGGAGUGAAGUUGUGUGAUUUGUUUUAUUUUGUCUAUUUCGUGUUUCUUCGGGUUUAAAUGUGUAAUAAUGGUGGUUUAUUAACUGUUUAAUAUCUGUGAAAGUGCACAAAUGUGGGAAAAUGAAAUAAAGCCGCUGGACGUAACCUCUCGGGAUCCUCCAAAAAGUCCACUGAAAAAAUCUAAAUGACCACCAUUUUACUGAGAUUAUACUUCAUCCCGUAUCAUCUCAUUUAAUUUCAUCUCAGUUGAUUAAUGUCUCAAAUUAAUCAUCUUCAUUUCAUUUCACUUCAUAAUAUCAAUUUUCAUAAAAAUAAGAAUAUAAAUUAAAAUAAGACAUGACUUAAAGGUCUCAGUUACCAGGUCAUAAAAUCCCUUAAAAAAAAAAGGUAGAUAUGUGAUUUGCGAAAUCGUGUUAAAUGAGACUAGAAGCCAGUAUAAAAAGGACGCAUAGUAAUUUUUCUGAUUGAAACAAACGCCUCGACUUUCCUGGUCGCAUUCUCACUUUCUUCGGGCAUGUGUCGCGGCGGGGUGACGACUCAGUUGAGCGCCUUGUGGUGCAGGGCAUGAUAGAGGGUACAAGACCGCGCGGCAGAUCACCGUUACGAUGGACCGACCGAAUAAAGGCAGCCCUAAACGGUCCUGUUAACGAGUGCACAAGAAGGGCCGCGGUACGCGAGGAAUGGCGACGUCUGGUGAAGCGCACCACCAACCGAAGUGAUGACCACGACCACUCUGCCAAGAGUGCAUGCGACUGAGAAGAAGAAGUGCAUAAUGUAACUUUCUAAAUCAUUUUAAACAAAACUCUCGUUGUCCUGUUGUAGUAGGACCGUGCUAUAAGGGGGUUUUAGGGAAUUUUUCUUUUCGCGUUAGAGUGGGACCGUGUUGUAAGUUACCUCGUUAUAGGAUUGCUACCUGUAUAUAUCAUGUGUCACGAUGUUUGUCCGGGAUGAACGCUGAAACUAAUCAACCGAUUUAAAUUUUUUUUAAAAAGUGUAACGUGCGGAACCGAAGUAUAAUAAAAAAAUCCUCUCACGCUAAACGGAACCCUAAAGUGUCGACCAACGCCGUGCGACCGACGCGACGCCGCGACGCGACGCCUGCGCAGGAUUCGUAAAAAUGCAGUCAGUGAGUUUCGAAAAAUUGAAUAAUGCGCAUGCGCCGGUCGCUGCACAAAAUUAUUAAUUUAAAACUAUCUUACCUUGUUGUACCUUAAGUUGUAACGAUUAAAUAAAUGAUUAACAUUAAAA
Molecule: long non-coding RNA, 1513 nt
Organism: Bombyx mori (domestic silkworm)
Lineage: Eukaryota; Metazoa; Arthropoda; Insecta; Lepidoptera; Bombycidae
Exons: 2
Source: RefSeq, a predicted model, not a curated record